GCCGAAGUGGCGGAACUGGUAGACGCGCUGGUCUCAAAAACCAGUGAGGUUCAUCCCUCGUGUCGGUUCGAUCCCGACCUUCGGCACCA
This 89-nucleotide transfer RNA is filed under the name Chloroflexota bacterium. RNAcentral's name for it is "tRNA-Leu". It matches the Rfam family "tRNA". Rfam says of the family: Transfer RNA (tRNA) molecules are approximately 80 nucleotides in length. Their secondary structure includes four short double-helical elements and three loops (D, anti-codon, and T loops). Further hydrogen bonds mediate the characteristic L-shaped molecular structure. tRNAs have two regions of fundamental functional importance: the anti-codon, which is responsible for specific mRNA codon recognition, and the 3' end, to which the tRNAs corresponding amino acid is attached (by aminoacyl-tRNA synthetases). tRNAs cope with the degeneracy of the genetic code in two manners: having more than one tRNA (with a specific anti-codon) for a particular amino acid; and 'wobble' base-pairing, i.e. permitting non-standard base-pairing at the 3rd anti-codon position. The record is from RNAcentral. Lineage: Bacteria; Bacillati; Chloroflexota.